AAACACAGAUUGAAAUCGAGAAUUGUUGAAGAUUGCUAGUAAAUCUAGAAGAAACAACAAAUUUAUCAACACAUGGAGGAAUGGAGAGAUGGAGGAGUGGGAUGAAGCUUGAGGCGGAAAAAGGAGCGAUGCAGAUCUAGAACUCAGGUGACGGCGGCGCGAGAGAGGUACUUAGGGUUCUCACUUAUCUCGUGUUCUAUCCUCUGAAAAGUUAAAAGAAAAUUAUAAGAAGAAGAAAUUUAAUACUUGGACGGAAAAAAAUAAAACUGAUUUGAGACGGAAAACAUACUUUCAUCUUAAAUUUGGGACAGAAAUAUAAAUUCUGUCACGAGAUUGAGACAGAAAUAAUUUAUGUCGCAAGAUAAUAUAUAUCCUUUAGAAAAAAC
This 386-nucleotide long non-coding RNA is filed under the name Trifolium pratense (red clover). RNAcentral describes it as "long non-coding RNA (TPRA_LNC007178)". Lineage: Eukaryota; Viridiplantae; Streptophyta; Magnoliopsida; Fabales; Fabaceae. The record is from RNAcentral.